Molecule: ribosomal RNA, 491 nt
Filed under: Diopsis fumipennis
Lineage: Eukaryota; Metazoa; Arthropoda; Insecta; Diptera; Diopsidae
Description: partial 16S ribosomal RNA
Rfam family: Bacterial large subunit ribosomal RNA (bases 252-410)
Source: RNAcentral
GUUUCAUUNNAAUUUAUAAUAGAAUUUUAUUUUUUAGUUAAAAAGCUAAAAUAAAUUUAAAAGACGAGAAGACCCUAUAAAUCUUUAUUUUUUAUUUUAUUAUUUAUUUAUUAAAGAUAAAUUUUUAAAUUAGUAAGAAAAAAAUUUUAUUGGGGUGAUAUUAAAAUUUAAUUAACUUUUAAUUUUUAAUUUCAUUAAUUAAUGUUUAAAUGAUCCGUUAUUUAACGAUUAAAAAAUUAAGUUACUUUAGGGAUAACAGCGUAAUUUUUUUGGAGAGUUCAUAUCGAUAAAAAAGUUUGCGACCUCGAUGUUGGAUUAAGAUUCAUAUUUAAGUGCAGAAGUUUAAAUAUUAAGUCUGUUCGACUUUAAAAUCUUACAUGAUCUGAGUUCAAACCGGUGUAAGCCAGGUUGGUUUCUAUCUUUAAAUUAAUAAAAUAUUUUAGUACGAAAGGAAUAAAUAUUUUAAUUUUAAAUUAUUAUAAGUUAUGAAU